ACGUAGGGGGCCAGCGUUGCUCGGAAUUACUGGGCGUAAAGGGUUCGUAGGUGGUGCGGUAAGUUGGGAGUGAAAUCUCUGGGCUUAACUCAGGGGCUGCUUUCAAAACUGCCGUGCUCGAGUGCGAGAGAGGUCAGUGGAAUUGCAGGUGUAGCGGUGAAAUGCGUAGAUAUCUGCAGGAACACCCGUGGCGAAGGCGGCUGACUGGAUCGCAACUGACACUGAGGAACGAAAGCUAGGGGAGCAAACAGGA
This 253-nucleotide ribosomal RNA is filed under the name uncultured prokaryote. RNAcentral describes it as "partial 16S ribosomal RNA". It matches the Rfam family "Bacterial small subunit ribosomal RNA", at positions 525 to 777 of the family's 1533-position model. The record is from RNAcentral.